GCAGUGGUGGUUUAGUGGUAGAAUUCUUGCCUUCCGUGCGUGAAUCCUGGGUUUGAUUCUCGGUCAGUGUA
Molecule: transfer RNA, 71 nt
Filed under: Loxodonta africana (African savanna elephant)
Lineage: Eukaryota; Metazoa; Chordata; Mammalia; Proboscidea; Elephantidae
Rfam family: tRNA
About the family: Transfer RNA (tRNA) molecules are approximately 80 nucleotides in length.
Source: Rfam by way of RNAcentral